UAGAGUUUGAUCCUGGCUCAGAAUCAACGCUGGCGGCGCGCUUAACACAUGCAAGUCGCACGAGAAAGUGGGCAACCAUGAGUACAGUGGCGAACGGGUGAGUAACACGUGGGUAAUCUACCUCUGAGUGAGGAAUAACCCUGGGAAACCGGGGCUAAUACCGCAUAAGCUCGAGAGAGGAAAGCAGCAAUGCGCUGAGAGAGGAGCCCGCGGCCGAUUAGCUAGUUGGUAGGGUAAAAGCCUACCAAGGCAGAGAUCGGUAGCCGGCCUGAGAGGGCACACGGCCACACUGGCACUGAAACACGGGCCAGACUCCUACGGGAGGCAGCAGUGGGGAAUCUUGCACAAUGGGGGAAACCCUGAUGCAGCGACGCCGCGUGAGCGAUGAAGCCCUUCGGGGUGUAAAGCUCUUUCGUCAGGGAAGAUAAUGACGGUACCUGGAGAAGCAGCUGCGGCUAACUACGUGCCAGCAGCCGCGGUAAUACGUAGGCAGCGAGCGUUGUUCGGAGUUACUGGGCGUAAAGGGUGUGUAGGCGGUUCUUUAAGUUUGGUGUGAAAUCUCCCGGCUCAACCGGGAGGGUGCGCCGAAUUACUGAGGACUCAAAUGCGGGAGAAGGAANGGGAAUUCCUGGUGUAACGGGAAAUGCGCUAAAAUCAGGGAGGAACCCGGGGGUGUAAACGGUUUUUUGGACCUUAACUUGACGCUGGAACCGAAGGCGGGGGAACAAAAGCGGAUUAUUACCUUGGCGGUCCACGCCCUGACCGUCGUUUUUUGGGGGGGGGCUUACAUUCAUCGCCGGCGGAGAAUGGCGUGGCAUAGGGCGGGGGGGGAGNCGCCGCGGCGUCAAGCCCCACG
Molecule: ribosomal RNA, 856 nt
Filed under: uncultured Acidobacteriota bacterium
Lineage: Bacteria; Pseudomonadati; Acidobacteriota
Description: bacterial SSU rRNA
Rfam family: Bacterial small subunit ribosomal RNA
Source: RNAcentral